Molecule: non-coding RNA, 551 nt
Organism: Danio rerio (zebrafish)
Lineage: Eukaryota; Metazoa; Chordata; Actinopteri; Cypriniformes; Danionidae
Source: RefSeq, a predicted model, not a curated record
CGCUUUCACUGAAGCACAUUGUCAAAGAAGCGCUGUCUUUUUAAAUAAACUGCCGAUUCGAGUUUAAAACAACUACAUUCUCGCCUGAAAUACUCUUAAAACUACAUUUUGUGACACAUUAGAUGAUUUUUUUUUAAACUUGCGGGUCUGCAAAGCGGGGAUUGUCCAUUGACUUUCGCUUAGCAUUAGCAGGCAGCCAGCAGAUUUGAAUUCGUGUUGUCCAAUAGGAUUUUGCCCGCGCCGUGCAUUCAUAUUGCGAGCUGAUUACGUGCGACGGUUAAUCUCCAGCUGUUGCACUGUUCUGACGCUCUUCUCGCCGCCGAUGGAGGAUGGACCUGAAGGACUCAAAGAAGCUGGAAUACGCUCGUGAAGACGAAGCACAGACAUUUGCAGAAAAUGAAGUGGACGAGGAAGCAGUAGUGUAAUAACGUAAUUGCUGCAAUUGGUGAGGAUGCAUCAUCUUUUGGGAGUAAUGCAAAUGUCCUUCGUAUCCAGUGAAAUAAGUCAUGGUGAACCUGACUGAAUGCAUUCAUCAACCAUCUCCAACCAAG